This 1398-nucleotide long non-coding RNA is filed under the name Heterocephalus glaber (naked mole-rat). RNAcentral's name for it is "lncRNA (ENSHGLG00000048711.1)". The record is from RNAcentral. Lineage: Eukaryota; Metazoa; Chordata; Mammalia; Rodentia; Bathyergidae.
GUCCCAGGUUUGGAAAGGAGCGUGAGGGAGCUUCCAUGGCCAGUGCACAGGCUCACCUGCGGUGAUGCCAGCUUGCUCACCUGGCCAGGUGCCAUUCGUCUUCCAAUGGCCUGCCCAGGGCGCCCCUCGCAGUACUCCAGCUACCAGCAAGGACAAGGCCAGCAGUAUGGAAGCUACAGAGCGUCGCAGUCGGGACCCUCUGCCCAGCAGCAGCGCCCUACGGUUAUGAGCAGGGCCAGUAUGGAAAUUACCAGCAAUAAGGGACAAGCAUUCUUGUUGGAGCCCUUGUGGUAGCGUGUCCGCCCAGGGAUGGACGGGCCAGUGGCUGUUCAGAGGAAUUGUGACAUGCCGGUCACCCUUCGCCCUAUGCCACGUCUGCAUGUGAAGCGUGCUCAUUUCAUGCUGGGUAUGACAUUGAGCGUGCACCACUGGCACCAGACAGCACUGUGAUGGUGUGACAGAUUUGGUGCUGUAUAUAGUAUUAUAUGUUGAUACAGUGGAGAGGUUGUCCCCUUUUUGUCCCCCACCCCCUUCUUGAGGUCCUAGCUAGCUUCGGGGGUCAUCUUGUUAUCAGUAUAAUCAUGUCCAGAAAUGGGACAUAUUUAAAAGACUCCCUCAUCCAUGAUUCACAUCAAGAGACCCGGCUCUUCUCCCUCUCCUCAUGCCAGUGUCACACUGUGGGUUGUAAACGUUUCUGUAACUGUACUUGCAGCCCUGGAUGCCCACCUCUGCUUUGCCUGGAUGGGAGCUGGGGCACUGCCUGUGUUUUAGGCCAGUUUCUGUUAUUCCACGACAAGGAUAAAUAUGCUUCACCUGGAGAGGCUUCGUACCAUCAUUUCCAGAGCUUGCCCAUUGCUUGUGCUCUCGCUAAUUCUGUUAUCCAAAAAAGCGUACAUCUUUGUAUUAGAAGAUGGAAAGGGAUCAGUGACUAUAUUCCAAAUAAAUAGGAGUCAGUGAGGGCAACAUGCAAUUAGCCUAGUGGUGGCGAACCUGUGGCACACAUGCCACCGUGGCUGUUUGUAUUGUUGAAAGCUCUAAAAGGUUCGCCGUCACUGGAUUCGCCAGACCUGGGAGUGCUGUGUUGCUGAGGAGUGACAGCCGUUCUCUGCCAACUGGGCCCUCAGAAACUGUUUUGGCUUUGGCCUGUGCUUGCUUAGCUGACAUCAUUUUUAGGAUUUGAAUAUUUAAAAUCCCCAUUUCUAAACAGAGAUAACUUAAAGUAUUGAUACGAAGUUUUCCAAAUAAUCGGCAAGUUUUUUAUUUCAUAUUAUUUCUUCUAGGACCUACUUGUUCAGAUCUCCAAGCAAGUGUUCCUUUUCUUUUAGGGAUGUCUGAAAUCCAUAUCCUAUUUUUAAAAAUUAUCCCCAAAACUUUACUGUAUUCUUUUGAGGGAAAACU